This 521-nucleotide ribosomal RNA is filed under the name uncultured Glomus. RNAcentral describes it as "SSU rRNA". It matches the Rfam family "Eukaryotic small subunit ribosomal RNA", at positions 569 to 1092 of the family's 1831-position model. Lineage: Eukaryota; Fungi; Glomeromycota; Glomeromycetes; Glomerales; Glomeraceae. The record is from RNAcentral.
AGCAGCCGCGGUAAUUCCAGCUCCAAUAGCGUAUAUUAAAGUUGUUGCAGUUAAAAAGCUCGUAGUUGAAUUUCGGGAUCAGUACGCUGGUCGUGCCUCCGGUAUGUACUGGUGUCACUGAUUCCUCCCUUCUGAAGAACCAUCAUGCCAUUAAUUUGGUGUGGUGGGGAAUCAGGACUGUUACUUUGAAAAAAUUAGAGUGUUUAAAGCAGGCUCGCGCUUGAAUACAUUAGCAUGGAAUAAUGAAAUAGGACGUUUAUCCUAUUUUGUUGGUUUCUAGGAUUGACGUAAUGAUUAAUAGGGAUAGUUGGGGGCAUUAGUAUUCAAUUGUCAGAGGUGAAAUUCUUGGAUUUAUUGAAGACUAACUACUGCGAAAGCAUUUGCCAAGGAUGUUUUCAUUAAUCAAGAACGAAAGUUAGGGGAUCGAAGACGAUCAGAUACCGUCGUAGUCUUAGCCAUAAACUAUGCCGACUAGGGAUCGGAUGAUGUUAAUUUUUUAAUGACUCAUUCGGCGCCUUACG